GAUGCUCUGUGAUGCAUGCGCCCUUAUUGAUAGACUGGCUAGGCUAGUUAGUCUGGCCACGCCCUCCCAUACUUCUUGUCGAGACUAAGAGUGGCAGUGACACAGCUACAAGACACGCUCUUUUCCUAUUCUAUCUCGAUCCAAUGCUGAAUCAGCAAGCCACGUGGUGCCUCUGGAGAAACAACAAAUCACUUUUAAUUUUUAAGCAUGGAGCCAGUUAAAUUGCCACAUCUGUAUUUGGUGGAUGCUUUGUCCAGUCCUACUGUGGGCCAUAGUGACAUAGCCAGGACCAUGGAGAGAGACCAUUGCUGAGGAGGUGGGGAGGGCAAGUUCCUGGUCAAUCAGAUGAUCUUACAUGACAAAGCUGCUCGUAAAGAUGCAGAGUCUGAUGACAAACUCAGGAUGAUGAACCUGAGGAUUUGUACAAAACAGGUGAGGUGGACUUUGACCCCAACUAUGAGAGUUUACUAGCGGAGCUCCACCUAGCAACCAGCGGUAGCAACGCACCUGGAGUGGAUCAGAUACAAUGAGAAACUAAUACUGGAGAAUUAUGCGGCCAUUUUUCAGCCCGGCCAAGUGUUGAGGAGACAAGAAGAGGCACUGAGAAUGGAGGCCUACUAUGCUGCUAAGAGAGGGGUCUCACGUAAACUGGCCACUCAGACGCUAACAGACCUCAGCAGUAUGGAAAAGGGUCUGUCAUCAGAGACUACAAACUGCCCAGCCCUUACAUGCAGCCCACCUCCAGUCUGGUGAGCAGCCUAUAAGCAGUGAGGGACAGUCUGAAGACAUGGGUCCAUGGACAGGGGCUACUGAGGAACAUCCAAGAGAUACUACACGUAGGAACAGAGCCGACCGACGUGGAGACGGUUACUAUCGCUACUGAAGAGGUGGUACCCAGUUCACAGUUUGAGAUAGAGAUAAGUCAGAGUGAUGAUGGGGAGAGUGUGGAGCAGCUACAGGCCAGUGACUUGGACCCUAACUUUGGCCUUGUGCAUGAUACCCAGGAGGUCCACACGCUCACUAGCGAUGAUGGUUUGCCCUCUGACAUGACCUCUGAGGAUGGCUCCACCCUCAACGCUAUAGGCCACGCCCUCAUUCAGAUGCAGCAAGGUGGACAGACCACCCCCUCAUCUCAGUUCCUCAUCACUAGGAGCACCUCAUCUGGUUCAGAGUCUGGCCAAAAUGGUGAGUAAUGGAGGCCAAAUUUAUCAGUGUGACGAUACAUUUUUGGGGGCAAAUCCAAAAUUAUAUAUAGGCUUCGAUAAGUUAUCCAAGUGCUUGUACAUACUAAUUACAUGUAGAACCAUGAGUAUUAUUGCUAAUGUUUUAAUUAUAAAAUAAGGUUUCUUCGAAGUGGUGUUGAAAAAU
This is a long non-coding RNA of Halichondria panicea, 1368 nucleotides long. RefSeq lists it as uncharacterized. The transcript has 6 exons. Lineage: Eukaryota; Metazoa; Porifera; Demospongiae; Suberitida; Halichondriidae. The record is from RefSeq and is a predicted model, not a curated record.